RNAcentral lists this long non-coding RNA (8339 nucleotides) under Malus domestica (apple). RNAcentral's name for it is "long non-coding RNA (MDOM_LNC002531)". Lineage: Eukaryota; Viridiplantae; Streptophyta; Magnoliopsida; Rosales; Rosaceae. The record is from RNAcentral.
CUCUCGUGCAGUAAGUAGUUAAAUAUCAAUUUACCAUAGGCUAAACCCCAAAAACUUCCCCCACCAAGACCAAGGCUGUUUUGCCUUGCGAAAGUCACUAAUCUUGAGGAUGCCCUCAAUGUGUUGGACGAAAUGUUUCAAACGCGUCCUCUGCCUUCCGUUGUCCGCUUCAAUCAAUUAUUGGGUCAAGUUGCGAAGCUGAAACAUUAUUCUGCAGUCAUCUCUUUGAAUAACCAGAUGGGUUUCUGGUUCGUCCUGGUAUUUAUAUUUUAAACAUCAUCAUUAAUUGUUGUUUUCACGACCUUCAACACUCUCUAUCUGCGGCUUUCUUCUUGAGGAUGGAGUGGCCGAGGCAGCAACAUUUUUUAAUAAAAUGUUGGAGAGUAGUAACUGCAAGCUGGUUGUGAUUACUUUCGGCACCGUAGUAAAGGGACUCUGCAUGAAAGGUAACAAUCAAUUGCUUAAGAAGAUGGAAGAGGGAACUAGCAUACCUAACCUAAUUAUUUAUAGCUCGAUCAUUGAUAGUCUUUGUAAGGAUACUUUAAUUAUUUAUAGCUCGAUCAUAAAUGAUGAGAAAGGGUAUUGCUCCUCCCAAAGUCAUUACCUAUACCUCUUUGAUUCACGGAGUUUGCAAAUAAGGGGAGUGGAAAGAAUCUACAGGAUUGUUGAAUGAAAUGGUGAGCAAAAGUACCUCUCCAAAUGUGCUUACUUUCAUUAUUCUGGUUGACAACCUUUGGAAGGAGGGGUUGGUCAAGGAAGAAAAAAAGUGGUCAAAAUGAUUACUCGAAGAGAUAUUGAACUCGAUAUAGUUACUUACCAUACACUUAGGCUAUCUUCAACCCAACAUUAUAAUUUGUUAAACUUUUGUACUUUUGUACUAAUAAUUUUGGAUUUUGGAUUUUUUAUUUUAUUUUUAAUCAUCUAUCUUGUUUAAUUUUAGGAACAUUUUGAUGUAAAAAAAAAAAAAAUCAAAUUUUGAAUAAAAAGUGUGGAGAUAUUUUUAGUUGGAUGGGUAUUUUGAAGGAAAUUUUAUUUGAACCCAUAUAAUCUCUUUCUACACUCAACUUACUCUUUUCACCCAUAUUAACUUUAAUUAAACCAUCAAUAUCUCUUUAAACCAUAUUUACUACCUAAAUUACCUCACAAACCAAAUUCAAUUGGUAGAUUUAUCCGUACACUCAUUUAGAAAUAAAAACCCAAAAUUUGCAAAGAGAAGUCCAUUUCAAGUUAGGAUUACGAAAAAGUGGACAAAUUCUUAAUCCAAACAAUAUGAUCGUCCUUGCAAUCAUAUUGCAAAAGAGCUUGUCGCACUAGUUUAGGGGGUUUUUUGUUUGUUUCAAAUGGUCUGAAUUUGAAUUAUAAAUGCUAUUGUUUCUUUAUUCUUAUUUUUCUUCCCGCUUUGGUUUAAGUUGAAGUCCUCUCUUUGGUUGUGACCAGUGGCGAAACUACGUGAGAGCGAGGAGUGGAGCUCUGGUUUAGCCCCUUCGAACCGGAGAGGAGAUCUUGGAGGAGGAGACGAGGUGGGGUCGGCGAGAAGAGGUUGGAAAAGAAGACGAGAGUGGGGUUGUACGACGACAGAGGUUGGAGGAGGUGAGAGUUGGUCAGCCAUGUCUGGUGGGGUUUAUGGGAGGAAGAAAAUUGUUGUUUGGUUAUCAGGUUAUAGGAGCUAGUAGGAUGUUUGGUUAUCAAAAUAGCAGGAGCUUAGAGCAAUCAAAUGAACAGGUGUAACAUUUCUAUUGAGCUAUAUAAUGAUUAGUAAAAAUUGUUUACUGACCUAUCAGUAGGCAAGAAUUAUCCGUUUGGUUAUCAGGAUAACAAGAAUUUGGGUGUGAGUUUUAAAGACAGGUGCUGGACAAUUAUUGGGCCACCUAAUUCAGUAAAAAUUGGGUACUGACACCUUACCCCAGUAUUAUCAUGUUGACCGUUUGUUUACUUUUUUUUUUCUCUUAAAAUACUGUGAUGAGUUUGCUGACCACCACUUCUCUUUUGGUCUUUAUCUUUCUGCCCCACUUGUUUGUUUACCCAUCCCAUCCCUUUUUUUUUUCUUCUCUUCUGACCCCACCUUUUUCUGUGGUUUAUUAACCCAUUUCUCUCUGUUUUUUAUUAUUUUAUUAUUUUUUAUUCUUGUAUGUAUUUUUAUUUUAUCUUUUAAGACUCCCACCGUAUUUAUCUUAAACUCUCACAUUAUUUAUAAAUAUUGUAUUACUUUAUAAAAACAAUGUAAAUAUUGUUUAAUGCUUAUUUUAUGAUAAUUUAAAUCCAUCUAGGCUCCUAACUAGAUCUUGCCUAGACACCUAGCUACUAGGUUUCGGUCCACUGUUUGAUUAGCGCCUAACAUUUUUUAGGAUCUAAUCCUAUCCAAUUUAAGCUUCUUACAGUGGCUUUGAUAUUAUUUCUUAUAACUACUUUGGUGGAGAGAUUAUUUUUCAGUAUGAAUAUUGAUUCAAAACUUUACACUAUCUAAUAUGAAAGCAAUCGUUUCGAUUGAACCAUACACUUAGGCUAUCUCUCCACGCUACUGCAUCUAAUGCGCGAAGCCCACCUUUGUCUAGUCUGCACGUUCAGGUGCUGCAAGCUGAGGCCCUCGGCCCAAUUCCUUCCCUCAUCCAUCCGGUGCGGGGGAAUAGCAGACCCAAAUUCCCACCCCCAAACCUAAGGUUCCAUUUUCUCACCCCCAAGAUACAGUCCUCGGAGAUGUAUUUUUUGUUUUUUUCAACCCCUCCGAGACAGAGGCAGAUUCUCUGCAUUUCCACUCUGUCAUCUCAUUUCCCCUCCCAUUUCCCAUACUCUUCUAUUUUGUAUAAUCAAAAUUAAGCCACUUCAAUAUUUUGGCAGGAGUCUGCCUCCCUCGGAGACAGCCUUACGUAUGGUUACUGUUUGAUAAUCGUUGCUCAGUCGGUCCGAUCUGAAGAAGAUGAUGCGGUGGGCAACAACUGCUGCUUGUUACGGCAGCCGCAGACUCAGAGCCAGAGGUAUGCCGCCUUCUCUUCACUCUUCUGUUGUUGUUUUCGUAAACAAUUACUUGGGUUUGUUUCAUUCUCGAGCUUCUCAAUCAACCGAAUCCAGAAGCACCCAACCACCCCAGUUUGCGAAAGUCACUAAUCUUGAGAAUGCCCUCAGUGUGUUCGACGAAAUGCUUCAAAGGCGUCCUCUGCCUUCCUUUGUCCGCUUCACUCAACUAUUGGGUCAAGUUGUGAGAUUGAAACAUUAUUCCACGGUCAUCUCGUUGAAUAACCAAAUGGGUGUGUCAGGAAUUCGUCCUGGUGUUUAUACUCUGAACAUUAUCAUCAAUUGCUAUUGUCAUCUCAACCAAAUGGGGUUUGGUUUGUCUGUCUUGUGAAAAUUCUUCAAAUUGGGUUUUGAACCCGAUGUCAAGACCUUAAACACUCUAAUCAAUGGCUUUCUUCUUGAGGAUAGAGAGGCUGAUGCUGUCGGGAUUCUGAAUAAAAUGAUGGAGAGUGGUAACUGGAAGCCCACUGUGGUUACUUUUGGCAUACUAGUCAAGGGACUUUGCAUGAAAGGUAACUACAUUGGAGCUAUCCAAUUGCUUAAGAAGAUGGAAGAAGGGGGGUGCAAGCCUGACGUAGUUAUUUAUAGCACGAUCAUUCACAGUCUUUGCAAGGAUACUUUAAUUGUUGAUGCAUUGAACCUCUUCUCCGAAAUGACAAGUAAAGGAAUUGCUCAAGAUGUCAUUACUUAUAACUGUUUGAUUCAUGGAGUUUGCAAAUUAGGGGAGUGGAAAGAAUCUAUAAGAUUGUUGAAUGAAAUGGUGAGUAAAGGUAUAUUUCCAAAUGUGCGCACCUUCAAUGUUUUGAUUGAUACAGUUUGUAAAGAGGGAAUGAUCCAAAAAGCAAGGAGCGUGGUCGAAAUGAUGAUUCAAAGAGAUAUUGAACCUGAUACAGUUACUUAACGUACACUUAUGGACGGUUACUGUUUGCUCGGAGAAAUGGGUCAGGCGAAAAAAGUUUUUGAACUAAUGCUUAGCAAAGGAUCCAUGAUUGAUGUUCGUAGCUAUAACAUAUUGAUAAAUGGUUAUUAGCCACAGCUCGUAUUCAUUCAGUAAUUCUACCCCUUCUUCAUUCUUGGACCUCGUUUCUUAAUAUUGUGACUCUUCCAUGCUGUGUCUCAGGAACCUUUUCAAUACGGUCCGGAUUGCUAGCUUCCGUUGUAAGCAUAAAAUGAUUGAUGACGCCCGAAUGCUUUUUCUGGAAAUGUCUUGUAGGGGAGUGGUUCCAAAUACAAUUACUUAUAACACUCUUAUGGAUGGGUUUUGCAAGAUGGGGAGAACACAAGAUGCAGAGACUUUGUUCUCUCAAAUGCAAGCUUGUGGCCAACUUCCAAAUGUUCGAACUUAUAAUAUUACUCGAUGGCCUGUUUGAAAACCAACAAUUUCCCAAAGCAGUGCAAUUGCUAAACGAGAUGGAGGGAAAAAAGUUGAACUUUGAUAUCAUAACGUAUGGUAUUCUCAUUAAAGGUUUGUGCAAAGAUGGAAAAGUUGAAUAUGCAUGGGAAGUCUUUCGCAGUUCAUCAUCAAAAGGAUUUCAGCAUAAUGCUAGGACAUAUACUAUAAUGAUUAGUGGAUUUUGUAACGCGGGGCUAACAAGUGAAGCAGAAAACUUGCUUAGGAAAAUGAAAAGGAAAGGUUGUUCUCCAAAUGGUUGCACGUACAACACAAUUAUUCGCGGGUUUAUCAAUAACUGCAAAACAUCAAGGGCAAUGAGACUUAUUAAAGAAAUGGUGGAAAGGGGUUUUUCUGCAGAUGCAUGGACUACAGAAUUGAUAGUUGAAACAGAUCCCACUUUGUUGGCAUUGAUAGAAAGAGCAGUGUGAAGUUCAUUUGUAUUUUUGAUAGCCGAAACAGAUCCUUAUGACCAUCACAAUGCAGUUUGGAACUGUUGCACUUUUGACAACUUUCGGUGGUUCCUUCCCUCGAAUGCUGCAUUGGAGCAAGUUCUUCCACUGACAAGUCCAGUUCAGGUAGCCAUUCGUCAUGCUCCGCUAGUGAUGUAUGAUAUGUGUUAUUUAUUUAAUCUAUCAAAUGACAGAGCAACUUUUAUGUUACUCUUUUAAGAGUGAUAUCUGUUGGAGAAGCAAAGUAUUUGGACUGAUAUGAUCAGAUGAAAUGCAAUACUGGAUUUAUGGCUUGGUUUAAUUUCUGUUUAAUUUAGCUCUUAUUGUUUGUUUUUGGUAAUAAAUAUGAAUCUGAUGGAAGAAGCAAUGGAGGAAAUGAUAGCUAUAGGAGGAGGACUCGAUCCAUUUCUCAAAAUUCUGCAGUUCCUCUAACACCCAAUUGAAAAGGUCAAGUUUACCACACUAAAACUAAAGUUCAAACAAACUUCAAUACAAAAUGCCUUAUGAGAUUAGUAAUACAACCUGAAAAAAUAUAUGGUUCAUGCAAUUCAACAAAAAGGUUUUGGUGCUUCAACUUUUAAGUCAAUAUUUUGCAUCGUUCAACCCUUUCUCUUUCCCUUUCCUUUUGAACACUUACUCUUCGAAGGUUAAGAGGCAUUUGAACUUGUGAACGAGCUUGAGAAGAUGAUACUUGGGAAGACCUUGGACCUUAUGAAAUUGAAUUUGAUGGAUGAGGAGUCACUGAACCUUGUGAACUAGAAGCUUGAGAUGCCUUGGAGCUUGUUGAUGUGGUUAUGGGUUAAGAGUAAGAGAUGCGAUACUUGAAUUCAAAAUGGCCACCUCUACAUAAUACAAAUACAUAAGCAAUAUAAAUUACAUUAGUUAUUAUAAACUUUAAAAGGCCUACAAAAGCAAUAAAACACAUUGAAAUAACAAAACAAAGAAAACCUACAAUAUAAAUUACCUAAUAAUGGUAUUAAAUUAAAUAUGUAUUUAAUUUUUGUUGUAUGGUUCAGUCUCGGUGAGGAUUUAGAUGGUCAAAACCGAAACAAAAUCGUUUUUCAUAUGACUGUUCACACAUCCAUUUUUAUCUCUACACAUCAUUGUUGAUUUUUGUUAAUUGAUCUUUCUCAAUCAAUCGAUUUGACGAUCGAAAAUUGAGAGGAGUGUGAACAUACCACCUUUUCAUAUUGCCGUUUAGUUUUAAACCAAAAUCGUUUCAAAAUUGCAAAAACAGAAUUGUCCAGUGCGGUUCAAUUUAAUUUGUGUUUCGGUUUCAGCUUUUAGUUCUAAGUGCCCAGCCCUUACUCUAAACUGGCAGACGACUAAUAGACUCCUUCCAUAUAAUAAUCAAGUCAUUGAAAAAAACGUGCAAUCAAGAACUCAAAUCAGAAUUCUCUUUAAGUUUUGAAUCUCAAUAUUUCCUCUCUCGCAGCAAAUGCAUUCGAUAUAAUUGCACUAUGUUUUUCUGAUGCACUGUGCGACUGUUUGUGUGUGUUGUAGCUCUGAGAAGGCUUGGGGUGAAGGGCGUGGAGAUAAGGAAGCCAGAGCAGCUUGAAACCGUGGCCUCCCUUAUAAUCCCUGGAGGGGAGAGCACCACCAUGGCUAAGCUCGCUGAGUACCACAACCUGGUCUCUCUCUCUCUCUCUCUCUCAGCUUCUGGGUUUGUUUUGAUUUGUUCCUUUGUUUGAUAUUGGUUUAUUUUGUUGACAGUUUCCUGCUCUGCGUGAGUUUGUUAAAAUGGGGAAGCCUGUUUGGGGGACUUGUGCAGGUCUUAUUUUCUUAGCAAACAAAGCUACAGGCACGUUCAUGUUCCUUCUUUCUUUCGUUGCUGUUAUGAAUCCUUUAAGUUAUUGAUAUGUUCAAUUGUUUUUAUAAAUGUGAUGAGAGGAGUGGCAUGAUUUUCACUUUUCAGGACAGAAAAUAGGAGGACAGGAACUUGUUGGCGGCCUAGAUUGCACCGUCCACAGAAACUUCUUUGGCAGUCAGGUAAUGCACUCACUUCUCUAUUCUCAAGUUCACGUGAUUUCGAUAUUCAAUGUGGUAAUUGUUUUGCUUUUGGUAAACCAAAAACCUGCAGAUUCAGAGCUUUGAGGCUGAACUUGCAGUACCAGAGCUUGCUUCUACGGAAGGUGGUCCUCAAGUAUUUCGUGGAGUUUUCAUCCGUGCUCCCGCUAUCCUUGAUGUAGGACCAGAAGUUGAAGUUCUGGCUGGUUAUCCUGUUCCAUCUAAUAAGGUGGUAGAUUCAAAUUCUGCGGUUGAAGCUCAAAAGGUUUGUGGUUUUUCUUCUGUCCAUAAAUUUUUUACUGGUUAUACUGUUAUGUUUUAAUGCAGUUGAAAAGAAGUUUCAUUUUAAUCAUUCGAAUAAAUGUUGAGGAUAUUACCUUUCUCUUGUGCAGUAAGUAGUUAAAUAUCAAUUUACCAUAGGCUAAACCCCAAAAACUCCCCCACCAAGACCAAGGCUGUUUUGCCUUGCGAAAGUCACUAAUCUUGAGGAUGCCCUCAAUGUGUUGGACGAAAUGUUUCAAACGUGUCCUCUGCCUUCCGUUGUCCUCUGCCUUCCGUUGUCCUCAAUGUGUUGCGAAAGUCACUAAUCUUGCAAACCUAACCUAAUUAUUUUUAGUCUUUGUAAGGAUACUUUAAUUAUUGAUGCACUGAACCUCUUUGAUUCACGGAGUUUGCAAAUAAGGUGGGAGUGGAAAGAAUCUACAGGAUUGUCGAAUGAAAUGGUGAGCAAAAAUACCUCUCCAAAUGUGCUUACUUUCAAUAUCCUGGUUGACAACCUUUGUAAGGAGGGGUUGGUCAAGGAAGAAAAAAACGUGGUCAAAAUGAUUACUCGAAGAGAUAUUGAACCUAAUACAGUUACUUAUCGUACUCUUAGGCUAUUUCCAACCCAACAUUAUAAUUUGUCAAACUUCUGUACUUUUUUGCUAAUAAUUUUGGAUUUUGGAUUUUUUUUAUUAAUCUAUCUUGUUUUAUUUUUAGGAACAUUUUGAUGUAAAAAAAAAUUCAUAUUCUGAAUAAAAAGUGUGGAGAUAUUUUUAGUUGGAUGGGUAUUUUGAAGGUAAUUUUAUUUGAACCCAUAUAAUCUCUUUCUACACCCAACUUACUCUUUUCACCCGUAUUAACUUUAAUUAAACCAUCAAUAUCUCUUUAAACCAUAUUUACUACCUAAAUUACCCUCACAAACCUAAUUCAACUGGUAGAUUUAUCUGUACACUCAUUUAGAAAUAAAAACCCAAAAUUUGCAAAGAGAAGUGCAUUUCAAGUUAGGACUACGAAAAAAGUGGACAAAUGAUUAAUCCAAACAAUAUGAUCUCCUUGCAAUCAUAUUGCAAAAGAGCUUGUCACACUAGUUUAGGGGUUUUUUUGUUUGUUCCAAAUGGUAUGAAUCUGAAUUCUAAAUGCCAUUGUUUAUUUAUUCUUAUUUUUCUUCCCGCUUUGGUUUAAGUUGAAGUCCUCUCUCUUGUUGUGACUAGUGGCGAAGC